RNAcentral lists this long non-coding RNA (381 nucleotides) under Gossypium raimondii (Peruvian cotton). Its description in RNAcentral is "long non-coding RNA (GRAI_LNC006245)". The record is from RNAcentral. Lineage: Eukaryota; Viridiplantae; Streptophyta; Magnoliopsida; Malvales; Malvaceae.
GUCCCCCUUUUUACUCCAUGUCUCCCUCUCUUGUCAUUUCAUCUCACCCUUGCCAUAGAAGAGGUUCAUUGAACCUAAACAAAGAGCCUCCUUCCUCAAUCUUAUUUCUCUCUCUUUCCUAUUAUAUCCUCACCUAUUUUCUCUACUUUUACAAAACCACCACCCUGUUCACUUUUCGCUUUUGCUUCUUUCCUCCACCGUGACUGAACCCUUCACCACCAACCACUGUGCCUCGUAGCCACCACUUUUCCUUCUCUUCCUCAUUACCGAUCAUUGCCAUUGUAGACACCGCAAAUUAUUUUCACCUCCAUCCCUCUUCCUUUCAUCUAUAUAUUUCACCUUUAUUUUGUCGAACCUCUACCAUUUCUUUUUACUAUACCC